UGGAGGUUCAGGUAUUGCACACCAACCCUCAAUACGUUUAGAUGAAUUGAUUUGUGCCCCAAAAUUCACAUCAAUUUGCUGGACCAAAGUCUCUAUAUUCUUUACCGUCACUAAGGUUUUCUUCACAUCUCUUAUGCUAUGCGCUUUCAGGAUAUCCAACAAUCUUUGCAGAGAUUUGCCCAGUUGACCUAGUUUGUUUCUGUAUAUAUAUUUUUCGUCAGUACUCAGUGGAGCAAC
RNAcentral lists this long non-coding RNA (237 nucleotides) under Fragaria vesca (wild strawberry). RNAcentral's name for it is "long non-coding RNA (FVES_LNC000227)". Lineage: Eukaryota; Viridiplantae; Streptophyta; Magnoliopsida; Rosales; Rosaceae. The record is from RNAcentral.